UACGGGGGGGGCAAGCGUUGUUCGGAAUUACUGGGCGUAAAGGGCUCGUAGGCGGCCAACUAAGUCGGAUGUGAAAUCCCCAGGCUUAACCUGGGAACUGCAUCCGAUACUGGAUGGCUCGAGUUUGGGAGAGGGAUGCGGAAUUCCAGGUGUAGCGGUGAAAUGCGUAGAUAUCUGGAGGAACACCGGUGGCGAAGGCGGCAUCCUGGACCAACACUGACACUGAGGAGCGAAAGCCAGGGGAGCAAACGGG
RNAcentral lists this ribosomal RNA (253 nucleotides) under uncultured bacterium. Its description in RNAcentral is "partial 16S ribosomal RNA". It matches the Rfam family "Bacterial small subunit ribosomal RNA", at positions 524 to 776 of the family's 1533-position model. The record is from RNAcentral.